This 2452-nucleotide long non-coding RNA is filed under the name Phasianus colchicus (ring-necked pheasant). RNAcentral's name for it is "lncRNA (ENSPCLG00000013368.1)". Lineage: Eukaryota; Metazoa; Chordata; Aves; Galliformes; Phasianidae. The record is from RNAcentral.
GGCACUUAUGGGGCACAGAGUGACACGGCACAGAGGCGCUUAUGGGGCAGAGUUGAGCACUUAUGGGGCAGAUGAGACACUUAUGGGGCUCGGGGGCACUUGUGGAGCAGAGUUGGACACUUAUGGGGCAGAUUUGGGCACUUAUGGGGCACAGCGACAUUUAUGGAGCACUUAGAGGGCAUGGAGUGACACUUAUGGGGCAGAGUUGGUCACUUAUGGGGCACGGAGUGAUGCUUAUGGGGCACUUAUGGGGCAGAAGGACGCACUUAUGGGGCAGAGUUGGGCACUUAUGGGGCAGAGGGAGGCACUUAUGGGGCACAGAGUGACACGGCACAGAGGCACUUAUGGUGCAGAGUUGAGCACUUAUGGGGCAGGAGGAGGCACUUACGGGGCAGAUGAGACACUUAUGGGGCUCGGGGGCACUUGUGGGGCAGAGUUGGGCACUUAUGGGGCACAGGGGGCGCUUAUGGGGCAUGGAGUGACAUGGGGCACUUAUGGGGCACAACGACAACUAUGGAGCACUUAUAGGGCAUGGGGUGACGCUUAUGGGGCAGAGGGAGGCACUUAUGGGGCAGAAGGACACACUUGUGGGGCAAGAGGUCACUUGUGGGGCAGAAGGACACACGUGGGGCACAGGGGUCACUUAUGGGGCAGAAGGACACACUUGUGGGGCAGAAGGGCACACUUAUGGGGCAGAAGGACACAUUUGUGGGGCACAGGGGUCACUUAUGGGUUCGAAAGACACACUUGUGGGGCAGAAGGACACACUUGUGGGGCCCAGAGGUCACUUGUGGGGCAGAAGGGCACACUUGUGGGGCACAGGGGUCACUUAUGGGGCAGAGGGACACACUUGUGUGGCACAGGGGUCACUUAUGGGGCAGAAGGACACACUUGUGGGGCACAGGGGUCACUUGUGGGGCAGAAGGACACACUUGUGGGGCAGAAGGGGUUCACUUAUGGGUCUGAAAGUCACACUUGUGGGGCAGAAGGACCCACUUAUGGGGCACAGAGGUUCACUUAUGGGUCCAAAAGACACACUUGUGGGGCACAGAGGUCACUUAUGGGGCACAGAGGUUCACUUAUGGGGCAGAAGGACUCACAUGUGGGGCACAGGGGUCACUUAUGGGGCAGAAGGACACACUUGUGGGGCACAGAGGUCACUUGUGGGGCAGAAGGACACACUUGUGGGGCACAGGGGUCACUUAUGGGGCAGAAGAACACAUUUGUGGGGCACAGGGGUCACUUACGGGUUCGAAAGACACACUUGUGGGGCAGAAGGACACACUUGUGGGGCACAGGGGUCACUUAUGGGGCAGAAGGACACACUUGUGGGGCACAGGGGUCACUUAUGGGGCACAGGGGUCACUGGUGGGGCAGAAGGACACACUGGUGGGGCACAGGGGUCACUUGUGGGGCAGAAGGACACACUUGUGGGGCAGAAGGGGUUCACUUAUGGGUCCGAAAGUCACACUUGUGGGGCAGAAGGACCCACUUAUGGGGCAGAAGGGGUUCACUUAUGGGUCCAAAAGACACACUUGUGGGGCACAGAGGUCACUUAUGGGGCACAGAGGUUCACUUAUGGGGCAGAAGGACACACAUGUGGGGCACAGAGGUCACUUAUGGGGCAGAAGGCCCCACUUGUGGGGCCCAGAGGUGACCCUCCCCCCCCAGCCCCCCGGCGCCUGCAGGUCUUUGCCCGCCUUCGCCCGCCGCCCCCCGGCCAGCAGCUCUGCCUGCGCCCCACGGCGCCACACGGCCUGCAGCUCCUGCAUGGCGCGGGCAGGGAGCCCAGCAACUUCCGGCUGGACGCCGUUUUCGGGCCGCUGUGCCCCACAGCUGCCGUUUAUUCGGGGUCUUUGGGGCCGCUGCUGCCCCAGCUGUUGGCCGGGACGGAGCUCACCCUGCUCUGCUAUGGGGCCAGCGGCGCCGGUGAGUAGGGGGGCACCCUAUAAGUGGGGGUCACCCUAAAUACGGGGGCACAGCACCUAUGGGGUCACCCUAUAAGUGGGGGCACCCCAAAGAUGGGGGCGGCACAAUUAUGGGGUCACCCUAUAAGUGGGGGCACCCUAUAAAUGGUGGUCACCCCAAAGAUGGGGGGCACCGCAACUAUGGGGUCACCCUAUAAGUGGGGGUCACCCCACAGUUGGGGGCAGUGCACCCAUGGGAUCACCCCACAGAUGGGGGUCACCCCGUAUUUGGGGUCACUGCACUUAUGGGGUCACCCCAUACUUGGGGUCACUACGCUUAUGGGGUCACCCCACCUGUGGGUUUUCUCCCACCUUUGGGUGCCCCCCCCCACCUAUGGGUGCUGCCCCCCCCCACCUAUAGGUGUCCCUCCACCUUUGGGUGCCUUCACCCCUGUCCCCAUUAGGUGUCCCCCCACCUUUGGGUGCUCCCCACCCCCCCAUGGGUGCUCCUGCACCCCCUUUGGGUUCUCCCCCUUCCCACCUAU